GCGGCGGGUGUCCAGUGAUUCAGCCACAUGUGAUAGAUGACCAAGUGACUGCUUUCUUGGGGUCCGCACAUCAGUGGAAGACACCCAAACUAGUUGUGGCUGACUUGAUCAAACUCUGGCUUCCUGAACUGGAAUGAAAAGCAGAUAACUCUUUAGAAAACUUUCGUAGGAAAAGCACCUCGUGUGAUCUGGAACAAAGACAUUUUAUAAUCAGAUUUAUCAAGCUGUGAAGAGGGAGUUUUAGCGAACGGAAGCAGCAGCCUUCUGUCACCAAGAAAUACUGCUUUAUCCAGAAUUGAACAGUGUCCUGUGAGAUAGGAAGUGACAAAUACCAACCUGGUGGUGCAGAAGAAAUCAAGAUAAGAGGGAUGCGUGUGUGAGGAGAAAGAUUUUCUACAAUGUCUGAAUGAAUUAAUGCAGCACACUGCUCACAAAUUUAAGGAACCAGGUCAUGAGGCACAAACUGGAAAUUCUCCUUAGAGUUUUUGUUAUGAGACUUUAUGGUGGAGAGUUAACACUAGCAUGCAUUGCCAAAGAUUAGGCCAACUGUAUGAGUUUCCUGUUGCUGCCGUAAGAAAUUACCACAAAUUUAGUGACCCAAAACAAUACUAAUUUAUUAUGUUACAGUUCUGGAGGUCAGAAGUCCAAAAUCAGUCUAACUGGACUAAAGUCGAGGUGUCAGCAGGGAUGGUUCCUUUUGGAGGCUCUGAGGACAGAAUCCAUUCCCUUCCCUUUUUGAGUGAUUCUAGAGGC
Molecule: long non-coding RNA, 753 nt
Organism: Equus quagga
Lineage: Eukaryota; Metazoa; Chordata; Mammalia; Perissodactyla; Equidae
Exons: 3
Source: RefSeq, a predicted model, not a curated record